RNAcentral lists this long non-coding RNA (368 nucleotides) under Dasypus novemcinctus (nine-banded armadillo). RNAcentral describes it as "lncRNA (ENSDNOG00000050606.1)". The record is from RNAcentral. Lineage: Eukaryota; Metazoa; Chordata; Mammalia; Cingulata; Dasypodidae.
CCACGUUCAGCUCUGCAAACCAGACUAAAUCCAGGGACAGAGCUGGGGGCCGGACCCCUGAGACCAGGACGCAGGUUGUCGGCUGCUGGCCUGGGCACCUUCGAGGACAUCGAACUGAACUCCUUCCUGCCCGGCCGCCCUGGCCAUGGGUGACAGCUGACUGCGCGGCUCCCUGCACGCUUGCCAAGGGCGGAGGAGGGACACGAGCCACGGAGGCUCCCGGCCCAGCCUGAGCUGAUUUCAACCCCGCUUACUGCCUCCACCUCGCCCAGACGCCCCUCUUCCCCCUCGUUGGUUCCUUGGCGGCUCCAGGCCCCUGUUUGCUCUUCUUAAGGGUGGAAAUGGCGACACCCACCCUGCGGCCCCCU